This 501-nucleotide ribosomal RNA is filed under the name uncultured bacterium. Its description in RNAcentral is "bacterial SSU rRNA". It matches the Rfam family "Bacterial small subunit ribosomal RNA", at positions 24 to 518 of the family's 1533-position model. The record is from RNAcentral.
UCAGGAUGAACGCUGGCGGCGUGCCUAAUACAUGCAAGUCGUACGAGGGAAGUCCAGCUUGCUGGACGGAACGAGUGGCGAACGGGUGAGUAAUACGUAAGCAACCUGCCUGCAAGGACUGGGAUAACACCUGGAAACGGGCGCUAAUACCGGAUAGGUAACAAAGGGGCAUCCCUAUGUUAUUAAAGGUUAGAAACACAAGCAGAUGGGCUUACGGUGCAUUAGCUAGUUGGUGAGGUAACGGCCCACCAAGGCGAUGAUGCAUAGCCGGCCUGAGAGGGUGAACGGCCACAUUGGGACUGAGACACGGCCCAGACUCCUACGGGAGGCAGCAGUAGGGAAUUUUCGGCAAUGGACGAAAGUCUGACCGAGCAACGCCGCGUGAGUGAAGAAGGUUUUCGGAUUGUAAAGCUCUGUUGUAAGGGAAGAACAGCACGGAAAGAAUCCGUGAAUGACGGUACCUUACCAGAAAGCCACGGCUAACUACGUGCCAGCAGCUGC